This 229-nucleotide ribosomal RNA is filed under the name uncultured bacterium. RNAcentral describes it as "partial 16S ribosomal RNA". It matches the Rfam family "Bacterial small subunit ribosomal RNA", at positions 568 to 796 of the family's 1533-position model. The record is from RNAcentral.
CGCGUAGGCGGUCUUGUCGGUCAGAUGUGAAAGCCCAGGGCUCAACCCUGGACGUGCAUUUGAAACAGCAAGACUUGAGUACGGGAGAGGAAAGCGGAAUUCCUGGUGUAGAGGUGAAAUUCGUAGAUAUCAGGAGGAACACCGAUAGCGAAGGCAGCUUUCUGGACCGAUACUGACGCUGAGGCGCGAAGGCGUGGGUAGCGAACAGGAUUAGAUACCCUGGUAGUCC